This 301-nucleotide ribosomal RNA is filed under the name uncultured bacterium. RNAcentral describes it as "partial 16S ribosomal RNA". It matches the Rfam family "Bacterial small subunit ribosomal RNA", at positions 509 to 807 of the family's 1533-position model. The record is from RNAcentral.
CAGCCGCCGCGGGAAUACGGAGGGCGCGAGCGUUACCCGGAUUUACUGGGCGUAAAGGGCGUGUAGGCGGCCUGGGGCGUCCCAUGUGAAAGACCACGGCUCAACCGUGGAGGAGCGUGGGAUACGCUCAGGCUAGAGGGUGGGAGAGGGUGGUGGAAUUCCCGGAGUAGCGGUGAAAUGCGCAGAUACCGGGAGGAACGCCGAUGGCGAAGGCAGCCACCUGGUCCACUUCUGACGCUGAGGCGCGAAAGCGUGGGGAGCAAACCGGAUUAGAGACCCCUGUAGUCCCUGUCUCUUAUAC